This 839-nucleotide long non-coding RNA is filed under the name Homo sapiens (human). RNAcentral describes it as "HSALNT0063246". Lineage: Eukaryota; Metazoa; Chordata; Mammalia; Primates; Hominidae. The record is from RNAcentral.
UGAGGAAACUGAAGGCAAGAAGUUGCCAAGUUUAGACAAUUGGUAAGGUGUAUUAGUUCAUUCUCAUGCUGCUAUAAAGAACUGCCUGAGAUUGGGUAAUUUAUAAAGAAAGGAGGUUUAAUCGACUCACAGUUCCACAUGGCUGUGGAGGCCUCAGGAAACUUACAAUCAUGGUGGAAGAGGAAGCAAACAAGCCCCUUAUAAGACCAUCAGAUCUUGUGCCAACUCACUCACUACCAUGAGAACAGCGUGGAGAAACCACCCCCGUGAUCUAAUCACCUCCCACAAGGUCCCUCCCCCAACACGUGGGGAUUACAAUUUGUAUCACAAUUCAAGAUGAGAUUUUGAGUGGGGACACAGCCUAAGCAUAUCAGCCUGAAUGCUUCCCACCCCACCACCUUGGUUAUAAAAGGCCUACUUCCUCAGCUGGUCAUUGGCAGCUGAGGGCUCAGUCACAUUUCACAACAGAAGCCUCCUGUCUGGGGUCCCUCUUCCACAGCUUUUUCCUACUGGAUGUCCACCAUGUUUCCUGGCUGUGUAGGAAUCACUGACCUUCCUGGCUGUUUGGAGACUUUCUAGUUUAUGGGUCCUACAUUUGCAAGACAGAAUUCAGAAAACUUUCUUCAGCUUUCUUUACAGCUAUUCACUCCCUCUCAUGACAGCUGGAUUAGAAGUGGGCAACUGGUGGAGGGUGGAUCCAUGAGGAGUUCACUUUGCUAGCAAGAGUGGUGACUGAGACUGCCUGUUCUUGGGAGUGGCAGGGGUUGCAAAGUUAGGCUCCUGGCACAGAAGUGGCUUUGAUGGUGUGGUGGUGGCAGUGGGGUCAAUUUCCUUAUCUG